RNAcentral lists this ribosomal RNA (737 nucleotides) under Candidatus Synechococcus spongiarum. RNAcentral describes it as "bacterial SSU rRNA". It matches the Rfam family "Bacterial small subunit ribosomal RNA", at positions 796 to 1533 of the family's 1533-position model. The record is from RNAcentral. Lineage: Bacteria; Bacillati; Cyanobacteriota; Cyanophyceae; Synechococcales; Synechococcaceae.
CUGGCCGUAAACGAUGAACACUAGAUGUUGGGGGAAUCGACCCCCUCGGUGUCGUAGCUAACGCGUUAAGUGUUCCGCCUGGGGAGUACGCACGCAAGUGUGAAACUCAAAGGAAUUGACGGGGGCCCGCACAAGCGGUGGAGUAUGUGGUUUAAUUCGAUGCAACGCGAAGAACCUUACCAAGGCUUGACAUCCUGCGAAUCUCCAAGAAAUUGGAGAGUGCCUUUUGGAACGCAGUGACAGGUGGUGCAUGGCUGUCGUCAGCUCGUGUCGUGAGAUGUUGGGUUAAGUCCCGCAACGAGCGCAACCCGCGUUUUUAGUUGCCAGCAUUCAGUUGGGCACUCUAGAAAGACUGCCGGUGACAAACCGGAGGAAGGUGUGGACGACGUCAAGUCAUCAUGCCCCUUACGCCUUGGGCUACACACGUACUACAAUGCUGCGGACAAAGAGUAGCGAUCUUGCGAAAGUUAGCUAAUCUCGUAAACCGUGGCUCAGUUCAGAUUGUAGGCUGCAACUCGCCUACGUGAAGGAGGAAUCGCUAGUAAUCGCAGGUCAGCAUACUGCGGUGAAUACGUUCCCGGGCCUUGUACACACCGCCCGUCACACCAUGGAAGUUGGCCAUGCCCGAAGUCGUUACUCUAACCUUUUGGAAGAGGGCGCCGAAGGCAGGGCUAAUGACUGGGGUGAAGUCGUAACAAGGUAGCCGUAGCGGAAGCUGCGGCUGGAUCACCUCCUAA